UACAGAGGGUGCGAGCGUUAAUCGGAAUUACUGGGCGUAAAGCGCGUGUAGGCUGCCCCGCAAGUCGGAUGUGAAAGCCCUGGGCUCAACCUAGGAAGUGCAUUCGAAACUGCAGGACUUGAGGCUGGGAGGGGCUGGUGGAAUUCCCUGUGUAGCGGUGAAAUGCGCAGAUAUCAGGAGGAACACCCGUAGCGAAGGCGGCACUCUGGGCCGAUACUGACACUGAGGAGCGAAAGCGUGGGGAGCGAACAGG
This 253-nucleotide ribosomal RNA is filed under the name uncultured bacterium. RNAcentral describes it as "partial 16S ribosomal RNA". It matches the Rfam family "Bacterial small subunit ribosomal RNA", at positions 524 to 776 of the family's 1533-position model. The record is from RNAcentral.